RNAcentral lists this ribosomal RNA (253 nucleotides) under uncultured bacterium. RNAcentral's name for it is "partial 16S ribosomal RNA". It matches the Rfam family "Bacterial small subunit ribosomal RNA", at positions 524 to 776 of the family's 1533-position model. The record is from RNAcentral.
UACGUAGGGGGCAAGCGUUGUCCGGAUUCAUUGGGCGUAACGAGCGUGUAGGCGGCCAGGUAGGUCGGUUGUGAAAACUGGAGGCUCAACCUUCAGACGUCGACCGAAACCAUCUGGCUAGAGUCCGGGAGAGGAGAGUGGAAUUCCUGGUGUAGCGGUGAAAUGCGCAGAUAUCAGGAAGAACACCCGUGGCGAAAGCGGCUCUCUGGAACGGUACUGACGCUGAGACGCGAAAGCGUGGGGAGCGAACAGG